GUACUGCCGAAGAGUCUUAAACAAGGACGAAACAGCUGUCCAGUAC
RNAcentral lists this non-coding RNA (46 nucleotides) under Trichobilharzia regenti. Lineage: Eukaryota; Metazoa; Platyhelminthes; Trematoda; Strigeidida; Schistosomatidae. The record is from RNAcentral.